RNAcentral lists this long non-coding RNA (643 nucleotides) under Cricetulus griseus (Chinese hamster). Its description in RNAcentral is "lncRNA (ENSCGRG00000026213.1)". The record is from RNAcentral. Lineage: Eukaryota; Metazoa; Chordata; Mammalia; Rodentia; Cricetidae.
CCUGAGCCCACCGAGGACACCCAAGCAAGCAUUUGGCCUGUAAAGGCCAAACUGAAGGCCAAGUUGACUCCACAGUGGGAUGGGAGGGGGACUCCCAGCCGGUAGUUCCAGGACCAUUCUGGAGGAGGGCUCAGGAGAACAGGAAGUGGUCUGCAGUGGUGCCCAGCGCUGUCCAGGAUCUGUUUGGAGAAGGAGACCAUAAUGAAUCCUGUCCAUCCUUCCAAAGGCAGGCGUCGUCUCUCUGCUGUGUGGAUGGGACAAUGAAGUUCAGUGUUCCUAGUGAAUCUUUGGACUCACUGUAGACUAAAAGGUUCCAAAUGUCAUGUCUGGAGCUUUCUUACCUUGCUAGCCAUUGAGGGUCAUCCACCUCCGCUGUGGUGGAUGAGCCAGUGAACCACACCAUGGAAAAUAGGCGGUGGGUGCCCAGUAGCUCUGGCAAGAGGACAUCUCCUGCAGCAUACCCAAGUCUGCCAUCUGUGCUACCGUGGGGCUGGAAGGAACCAGGAGGCGGCUUUGACUCCCACUCAUCCCAAUAAACGAUAGCCAGACAUGCAAAGAAAGGGGUCCAUUUGUAGUAAAAGGGCAUUUUAAUUAUUAAUAUGUUUGUCUAUUUUUAAAAUCUUGGGCCUGGAGAUGGCUCCGA